CGGAGGAUGCAAGUGUUAUCCGGAAUCACUGGGCGUAAAGCGUCUGUAGGUGGUUUAGUAAGUCAACUGUUAAAUCUUGAAGCUCAACUUCAAAAUCGCAGUCGAAACUAUUAGACUAGAGUAUAGUAGGGGUAAAGGGAAUUUCCAGUGGAGCGGUGAAAUGCGUAGAGAUUGGAAAGAACACCGAUGGCGAAGGCACUUUACUGGGCUAUUACUGACACUCAGAGACGAAAGCUAGGGUAGCAAAUGGGAUU
Molecule: ribosomal RNA, 254 nt
Filed under: uncultured bacterium
Lineage: Bacteria
Description: partial 16S ribosomal RNA
Rfam family: Bacterial small subunit ribosomal RNA
Source: RNAcentral